AGAAUACAAUAAUAAGCUUGCCCGACUAAUAUCUCUAACAUUUCGUCCAUAAAUGACAAUGGAAAAUGAUCCUUCCGUGUAGCUAGAUUCAACCUACGAUAAUCAAUACACAUUCUUCAUCCCGUAACAGUAUGGGUUAGGAUUAAUUCAUUUUUUUAAUUAUGAAUAACAGUGGUGCCACCUCUUUUUGAAACUACAUGCAUUGGACUUACCCACGAACUAUCAUAAAUAGGAUAAAUU
RNAcentral lists this long non-coding RNA (240 nucleotides) under Lathyrus oleraceus (garden pea). Its description in RNAcentral is "Pisum sativum (pea) long non-coding RNA (PSAT_LNC010687)". The record is from RNAcentral. Lineage: Eukaryota; Viridiplantae; Streptophyta; Magnoliopsida; Fabales; Fabaceae.